AUACGGAGGGUGCGAGCGUUAAUCGGAAUUACUGGGCGUAAAGCGUGCGUAGGCGGUUUGCUAAGUCAGAUGCGAAAGCCCCGGGCUUAACCUGGGAACUGCAUUUGAUACUGGCAGACUAGAGUAUGAUAGAGGGGGGUAGAAUUCCUGGUGUAGCGGUGAAAUGCGUAGAUAUCAGGAGGAAUACCAGUGGCGAAGGCGGCCCCCUGGAUCAAUACUGACGCUGAGGUACGAAAGCGUGGGGAGCGAACAGGAUUAGAAACCCGAGUAGUCC
Molecule: ribosomal RNA, 274 nt
Filed under: uncultured bacterium
Lineage: Bacteria
Description: partial 16S ribosomal RNA
Rfam family: Bacterial small subunit ribosomal RNA
Source: RNAcentral